GAAUUUCUGCUGCAUCGUUUUUCUUUGCUUGACAGAUGGGGUUUGUUUGGGGUUUGGUGGGGUUCAGUUUUCGUUUCUCGACGUUUACUUUGAGAAAAUUAGAGUGCUUCAAGCAGGCUUUUGCCUUGAAUACUUUAGCAUGGAAUAAUGGAGUAGGACUUUGGUUCUAUUUUGUUGGUUUUAGGAGCCAGAGUAAUGGUUAAUAGGAACAGUUGGGGGCAUUCGUAUUUGACUGUCAGAGGUGAAAUUCUUAGAUUUGUCAAAGACGAACUACUGCGAAAGCAUUUGCCAAGGAUGUUUUCAUUAAUCAAGAACGAAAGUUAGGGGAUCGAAGACGAUCAGAUACCGUCGUAGUCCUAACUAUAAACGAUGCCGACUAGAGAU
This 384-nucleotide ribosomal RNA is filed under the name Theileria equi. RNAcentral describes it as "SSU rRNA". It matches the Rfam family "Eukaryotic small subunit ribosomal RNA", at positions 668 to 1053 of the family's 1831-position model. Lineage: Eukaryota; Apicomplexa; Aconoidasida; Piroplasmida; Theileriidae. The record is from RNAcentral.